This 481-nucleotide long non-coding RNA is filed under the name Mustela putorius furo (domestic ferret). RNAcentral describes it as "lncRNA (ENSMPUG00000030423.1)". Lineage: Eukaryota; Metazoa; Chordata; Mammalia; Carnivora; Mustelidae. The record is from RNAcentral.
CGUAACAGAUGCAAAGACGAAGAAAUAGAAUUUGAGUUACUCCAGCUGUCAUGCGGUAUGACCACUUGGGUGUCUGUGUUUAAAAUUUUCAACAGCCAAGAUAAUUGAAAGCCACCAGAAUCCAGCCUGAAUGAAAACAGACAUGGAUGAUGUCGUGACUUUCUGGGUCGGACUUCCCAGACUCACACCACAUCUCCACCCUUCCUGCACCUCAAGAUUUACCAUGUUUCCAUGUGAGAAAGAGACCAGAUCUCAUGUCAUCAGCGCUCAUUCCAUGACCCGCCCCUGCUAAGCAAACAGAGGAUUUUCAUAACCUACCAUGUUCUGUCUGCUUUAUGACAGUUCCUAAGACUUCCUAUGGAUGUGACACAAAGUCCACCACUGUCUGAGUCCUUUGUUCAAAAUGCCAAGCUAGCGCCUUGGGCAUCACCGAAUACAGACAGAGCCUCAAGAGUAAACAUCCAGGUUGGAAUUCCCUGAC